Molecule: long non-coding RNA, 327 nt
Filed under: Vigna radiata
Lineage: Eukaryota; Viridiplantae; Streptophyta; Magnoliopsida; Fabales; Fabaceae
Description: long non-coding RNA (VRAD_LNC011743)
Source: RNAcentral
CCCAAGCUUGGAUUGGUAAAUAUACACCGUCCAACUUGAGGGGAGACUAUUGAGAACCUUAUAGUUGUCCUAACUGUCCAAAGACAGUUAUUCUGUUUUUCCAGUUUUAGUUCUUCCCCAUGGAACUUUAUAUAUAGAGUUCCUUCCCUUUUUCCCCUUGAUACCAGAGAGUAAUUCAUGUUUACAGAAAUAAGAAAAGAAUACGCUUUUCUUACCCUUUUUGCUGCGAUCUACAUUUUUGUCUUCUACGGCACCGGUAAUCACCGUGCCUGAGCGCCUCUGGCUUGUCUCCGAUCGUUUCUCUCUCAAUCGUCUCUCGCACCCUUU